Molecule: long non-coding RNA, 434 nt
Organism: Octopus sinensis (East Asian common octopus)
Lineage: Eukaryota; Metazoa; Mollusca; Cephalopoda; Octopoda; Octopodidae
Exons: 3
Source: RefSeq, a predicted model, not a curated record
GCGAUGCGAGGCGAUGCGAGGGAGCCGAGUCGAGCCGAGCCGAGUCCGUUCGAUGAAGCGUUUCUCGCAGAUGGCAGUAGUAAACACUAAGAGCAAGCGGAAAGACGACAACAACAACGGAGCUAGCGACGUGCGCUGCUUCUUUGCGAUGGUGAAGGAAGCGCACCACCGCCUCCACCACUCCAGCAACGCCACCGACACCCCGCCUCCUCCUCCCCUCUACCCACCCCCAUCGCACUCCUCUCCCCGCCGCCUGCCACUCCACAGUUUUUGCCGCUGUGCUAUGAGAAAGAUGUUGCUGUUAUUGCAGUCGACGUCGCUGCUGCUGUGGUCGUUGCCGUGACUGUUGCUGCUGCUGCUGCAUCCGUUCCGCUCCGUUGGUUUCAGCUAAACAGACGGUUGUUACACCUGUGUCGAGGGAUGUUGUCAGCUGU